UAGUCCACGCCGUAAACGAUGUCUACUUGGAGGUUGUGGCCUUGAGCCGUGGCUUUCGGAGCUAACGCGUUAAGUAGACCGCCUGGGGAGUACGGUCGCAAGAUUAAAACUCAAAUGAAUUGACGGGGCCGCACAAGCGGUGGAGCAUGUGGUUUAAUUCGAUGCAACGCGAAGAACCUUACCUACCCUUGACAUCCUCAGAACUUGUUAGAGAUAACUUGGUGCCUUCGGGAAUUGAGUGACAGGUGCUGCAUGGCUGUCGUCAGCUCGUGUCGUGAGAUGUUGGGUUAAGUCCCGCAACGAGCGCAACCCUCAUCCUUAUUUGCCAGCGGUUCGGCCGGGAACUAUAAGGAAACUGCCGGUGAUAAACCGGAGGAAGGUGGGGACGAUGUCAAGUCAUCAUGGCCCUUACGGGGUUGGGGCUACACGCGUGCUACAAUGGGUGUUUACAGAGGGGAAGCAAUAUGGCGACAUGGAGCAAAAUCCUACAAAAACAUCUCAGUUCGGAUU
Molecule: ribosomal RNA, 510 nt
Filed under: uncultured bacterium
Lineage: Bacteria
Description: bacterial SSU rRNA
Rfam family: Bacterial small subunit ribosomal RNA
Source: RNAcentral